RNAcentral lists this ribosomal RNA (403 nucleotides) under uncultured bacterium. RNAcentral describes it as "bacterial SSU rRNA". It matches the Rfam family "Bacterial small subunit ribosomal RNA", at positions 356 to 775 of the family's 1533-position model. The record is from RNAcentral.
AGGGGAUAUUGCUUAAUGGGCGAAAGCCUGAAGCAGCAACGCCGCGUGUGUGAAGAAGGCCUUCAGGUUGUAAAACACUUUUUGAGGGGAUGAGGAAGGACAGUACCCUCAGAAUAAGCCUCGGCUAACUACGUGCCAGCAGCCGCGGUAAAACGUAGGAGGCGAACGUUAUCCGGAUUUACUGGGCGUAAAGCGCGUGCAGGCGGCACGGCAAGUUGGAUGUGAAAGCUCCCGGCUUAACUGGGAGAGGUCGUUCAAAACUGCCGAGCUAGAGUGCGGGAGAGGGAGGUGGAAUUCCGGGUGUAGUGGUGAAAUGCGUAGAUAUCCGGAGGAACCCCAGUGGCGAAAGCGGCCUCCUGGUCCGCAACUGACGCUCAGACGCGAAAGCUAGGGUAGCAAACGG